CCCUUAGAUGUUCUGGGCAGCACGCGCGCUACAAUGGUCUUCGCAAACGGAUGCAUUCUCGAAGGAGAAUGCCAAUCUUGGAAUCUAUGCCUUGGUCGGGACAGUUGCUUGCAAUUUUUCGACUCGAACCAGGAAUUCCUUGUAAUCGUGAUUCAUCACAUCACGAUGAAUACGUCCCUGCCCUUUGUACACACCGCCCGUCGCUCCUACCGAUCGAAUGCUCAGGUGAGCCAUUCGGACUUUCAUCAUGCUGGUUUCCAGUUUUGAUGAAGGAAAGUCUUGCGAACCUUAUCAUUUAGAGGAAGGAGAAGUCGUAACA
Molecule: ribosomal RNA, 319 nt
Filed under: uncultured eukaryote
Lineage: Eukaryota
Description: partial 18S ribosomal RNA
Rfam family: Eukaryotic small subunit ribosomal RNA
Source: RNAcentral